RNAcentral lists this long non-coding RNA (16488 nucleotides) under Prunus persica (peach). Its description in RNAcentral is "long non-coding RNA (PPER_LNC000653)". Lineage: Eukaryota; Viridiplantae; Streptophyta; Magnoliopsida; Rosales; Rosaceae. The record is from RNAcentral.
AAACACUAAGUGAGCUUGAAUAUUCAUUCAAUCUGAUUCAAAUGUACAAGAAAUAAUAAUAAUAAAAUAAUAAUAAUAAUUCGUGAGGCCAAUUGGACGAAAGUCUUGGGAAAGAAAACCAAAGAUAACAAACAUUUGUACGUUAGAUGAACAUAAAAGAACGGAACUGUUUCUCUAUAAUCAGAUCAAAAGUAUAAGAUAUAUGACAAACUUGAAAAAGGAAAUAGAACAAAGAACAAAGAGCACCAAAAGAUAAAAGCAAGAAUGCACCCACUAGAGACGGUGGUGGCCUAUCUGCCCAGCAACAUUGCGCCACUGCUCUGGAACUAAUCCUCGCCGCUGCAUGAGCAGCUCGAUUAACACUACGAGAGAUCCAACUCCACUCCACAACAUCCAGAGAUGAAGCAAGAUGUCUGAUUUCCAGCACAAUUGGAAGAAUAGUCCAAACCCUCUUACUCACUCGUCCAUAAAUACUAAGGUUCAAAAUUUAUGAGUCAGUCUCCAUGAUCAUUCUUCUAUACCCCAAACCAGCCACCAGUUUGAGACCUCGAAUGGCAGCUUCCGGUUCCUCAUGGAGAGCAGAACAAGAAGUUAAGCCUUCAGUGAGACCCCCUACAGUUUUGCCGCUUUCAUUCCGUAACACUGUUAGAUAAAAAUAUAAGAAAAGUGAGAAAAGAUUCAUCCAACACAAUUUCACUCUUAUUUAUUGCAAAUAAGAGUUUCUAUAGUUUGAGUAGGAUCCAUUUCAGGAUGAAAAUAUCUCUUAAUUACAAUAUCUUCUGAAAAGAGAACACCCUUUGAUUCAAAUGCGAAGAGUGAAAGUUCGUUUGAUGUUUAUGGUUGCAUCUAGGGAACCCUAGACUGCCUACAUACCUUUUUGGGUAUCAAGCCGUUUGUAGUUCCCGAAAGAAUUUAAUUGGAUUUUCAAGGAGUGAAUGACCCCUUGAAAGCAUUUUAUAGUGAUGUAAAUUGAGGAAUUUUGAAUGUGGAAAAUAUUUAUGAAAUUUGGAUGAAUGUGGUUAAAUCGGGAAUUCAAUUAAUUAAAGGAAGUAAUUUUGUGGUUACAUCUAGAUUGAAUUUCUAAAUUGUCUGCGGAACAAACCGAUGGUAUUUCAAAAAGGUAAUUUAAUUUUGUUAAUGAGUAUAUGACCCACUAGUAAUUUAGUGACUUUUUUUGAAUAAUUUAGAAUAAAUUGUGUAUUCGGCUUUGAACCGAAUUUGGGAUUUCUUUGUGGCCCAACUGAAUGGUGAAGCUUGUAAACAAUAAUGGGCUUUUGUCACUCGUAAACUUUUGUUUUGUGCUGUCAUGGGAAAAACAAGGGCCCUGCGUUGCGUUGACAUGUUCAUGUUUAUUUAUUUGAUGAGAAGCUUGGAGACAAACAGCAAAGUAACUUGUCUAAAUCUCUUGACUCGUCGUUGACUCUGCCGUUGACUCUCCCUUGUUUUUUAUUUGCAGAUUUGGAACUUGAGCUAUAGGUAAAGGGGGGUUGGAGCUACAGCGAGCCUUUUUCCUGUUUUUGGUAUACUCAACAACACCCGCAAGGACUGCCAACUACGCACAUGAGGAAAACUUGUGUGUUUGAAGUUGCUUGUUUUUGGGGGGGAAGAAAGCAAAAAAUUUGUGGAGCUGCUGUGUGUUGGUUCUUGGGUGGGCAGCAUGGUUUGAACAAAAUAAGAGCAACUUUCAAAACUAUGUGGGAGGAAGUGGAGGGAUUAUUAAGAGAGUUCGUUGUUGGGAAUCAUUCUGAGAUUUAUGUUGAGGUUAUCCUUAACAACUAAAAUGAGUUACUAAAAAUAGCAACUUUAAUUCUCGCAAGUGCACAAACCGUUUAUAGUAUAGCUUAUGUAACUAUGAGGUCGAUCCCACGGAGAAUGGUAACUUUGUUCCAAGUUAAAUUACUUAGAAUGCUGGAAAAAUAAAAAAUAAAAAAACUGACUAACUAAGUAAAGGCAAGGUCGAAUUCAACAAUGCCUCUUACUAAUUACUCAAGGUCUAGGACAGAGUCCUAGCACCACACAUGCACUCAAAAUUGGGGUUUUGUUGUUGAAAUGAAAACAAGAAAGUGAAAUGAAAGUACUGAAAAGUAAACACUGGCAGCAAUCAAGAAGUUGUGAAACAAUGAUUGAGAGUUGUUAGAGCCUUGGAAUCCACCACUAGUCUUCCUAUUUAAGUUAUGAAUGCAUAGAAAUUGACUCAAGCUUCAUCAACAAUAGAUUAUCGCAUACAAGCCUAUGGUAUCUAGGUGUAGGAUGCAUGAUUCUCCUAAGGCAUGUGAUUGUGCAUGGUAUCUACACAACACGUGAUCUCUAAUAUGCAACAUAAGCAUGUAUCUACUUAGAAUAAAGAAUACAAGAGUCAUUAAGCUCCUUGAGAAUAUGAUAAUCACACAAGUCCUAGAACAUGGUAUUUGUCCUAGUCAACCUAUGGUUAUUAACCCCUUGAAUGAUUCGUAGGCCAUUCAUGUGUUGCUUGUGAAAGGAUAGUAGAAUUGGUGAAUCUAAACCCCUUCCCAACCUGUGCUAGAUGCAUAAAAUCCUAAUUAGCUACUCCAAGAAGACAUACAUCAAGCACAUAAUAAACUGGCACUACUACAAAAAGUGAAAAAGACGACCAGAAAACAACGACGGUCUAAGUGAAAACCGUCGUGGUUUUUAAAAAGACGACGGUUCUAAAAACACCGUCAUGUAAUACCACCUUAGACAACUAAAAAUGGAGAUUCAAAUGGCUGUUCAAAAACAACGACGUACCUAAUUAAAAAACCGACGUCUAUUUGAAACAGAUUUCCGCAGUGUAAAAUCAAAGCCAACAAAGAACGGCAUAAGUUAUGAAUCGACCGACGUAGAAAGUAAAGACGACGAUUUCAAUAAAAGCCGCCGUUUUUACUCAUAAAAUAACACGACGAAAUUUUCGUAUAAGACGCCGUAUAAUUACAAACAAAUCGACGGCUUUAAAAUACAAAAUGUCGCCGUAUUAAAUUAAUUUACAACGACGAAAAAUAUAAAUAUAUCGACGUUAUUCUCGUAUAGUUCUACGACGUUAUCUUUAAAUCGUACUAUAAAAUUUAACGUCGUAUUUAUUAAUUUUAUACGUCGUACCUUUAAUUUAAACCGUCGUCUUAAUAAGAAUUUUUGUUAACAAUUUUUUCCUUUAUUUUCUUAUCCUACGUCGGUAGAUCUACUUAAUGACAAGAAUUGAAAUCUGUCAUCCAAAAAAGAAACUUUACAUAAUCUAGAACAUUAAUUUCCUUCAUUUUAAAUUUCCUUAGGAAAAAAAACUCUAUUUAUAAAGCACUGUAAUUGAAAAAUAAACUGAAAGGUCACGGGAAAAAAAUUUCUAUUCAUAAUUUAACAAUUCAAAUCCACGUCGGUUAUAUUAAACCUAACGACGUUAAAUGAAAAGAUUCCACGUCGCAAAACAAAUAUUGCGUCGUGUUAGUUUAUGGUUUCUUUAAUAGUUUCAGUUUCUUUAACAGUUUGGUCCUUUAUCUUUCUGCAGGACUUGUAUAGUUCAAAGCAUUGACUUGUAUAGUUCAGAGUAUAGUUCAAAGCACUGAUUCGAUUGCUCAUGCUUUAUCGCAUUCAUGAAGCCAUUUCUAUUCUUUAUCGCAUUCUUGAAACCCAUCUUCUUCUUCUGAAGCUCUACGGAUAAAGGAAGAGGCUAUCACAAAUCUGACGGAUCUUCUUAGCCAAGAAAAUCAAGCAGAGGAUCAGGCACAUCUGAUCUUCAGAUUUCCCUGAGAAGCGAACUUUCCUUCGACAGCGAGUGGAGGCCAGGCUUGCAUCUCUUUUGAUGGAAAGCAAGGAGUAUUCAGAAGCACUAAAUGUCCUAUCAGGCUUGAUCAAGGAAGUGAGAAGGCUAGUUGACAAGCUUCUUCUUGUGGACAUAGAUUUGAUGCGAGUAAGCUCAAUUUCUCUUUGAGAAAGACAUCCAAAUUACUGUCUUUGAGAUGUGAGAGACAGUGUCUCUAAGAGAGGAAGAACUUGGAACCCUAAAUGUAAACCGAAAAUGAAUGAAAGCGACAAAUUUAUAGAAUAAAUUUUUAAAACCAACGGCGGUCCUUACAAAAAAACCGCCGUUUAAAUUUUAAAAUCAACGUCGUUAUGACCGACGUAUAUUACAUAAAUCCACGUCGGUAAAUUAAUAAAACCGACGUGUUAAAUGAUCUACCAUGACGCGAGUUAUUACUUAUGUUCUUUAAUUUUUGAGUUUACUACGACGGUACCUACAACACUACUGUCGUACUUAUUUACCACGUCCGAAGUUAAACGUACUGUCGUAUUUUGUAAUUUAUACGUCGUAGUUAUAUGUAACCGCCGUAUUAUUUUUUGAAAUGGUUUUAUAUGUAAGCAACUUUUCGUGUACCUGUCUUACACAUGCACUGUUUCCAAACCCGAUUAAAAAUUUCAAUCUCCCAGAGAAAACUUUUAGACUUUUUUCCUUGUCAGAGCACUUUCAGAGUAUCUCAUCGUCUUCCUCUCGUCUUCUUCGUCGUCUCUGAACUUAAACAUCGAUCGUCUUCCUCUUGCUUUCAUUGCACGCAAAAGGUAAGCUUUCAUUUUCACUAUUUUGGUUGCUGUUUUGCAUGCUCAUACGUUUUUUGUUUGAAAAAUCUUUUUACCUUUUUUCUGGCCAAAAUCAUUUUACUUCUUUCCAAGUUCGAAAAAAUAUACAGACAAAGAGGGAAAGUUUCCAACUUUGAAGACAACUACCUCAACUAAAUAAGACGACGGUAGCUUCUUAUUUACGUGGUUAAAUAUGUAGACCACGACGGUUCGUCAGUCGUUCUAGCGUCGUCUGAAAAUUGACAAAGUUGUUUUUAAAAUUAUAGUCUUUUUUUUAUUUGCUUGUUUAAUUGCAGGUUUGAUUUCUCUGAACAAUGGUUUUUGUUUUUCUCUAAUUUGAUAAAAUAUAAAGAAAAAGAAAUUAGGGUUGGUAUCUAAUAUAGACGACAGUAUCUUAUUGUUUUACGUCGUGUGAAUGUUAAUACCACGACGUCAUAUUAAAAUACCGUCGUCUAUAUAAGAUUCCAAAACUUUCUUUCUUGGCCUUGUAUUUUAUCAAAUUAGAAAACAAAAACCAUGGUUCAGAAAAAUCAAAUCUGCAAUCAAACAUUCAUAGAGAAAGAAAGAAGGGUUUUGGAUCCUUAUAUAGACGACGGUAUAUUACUACUGACGUCGUGUGAACAUCAAUACCACGACGUUAUAUAAAUAUUCCGUCGUUUAUAGUUAAUUAUUACGUCGUUUGUAGUUAAUUAUUUCGUCGUUGUUUAAUUACCUUGGUUUUAAACAUUUAUUACGUCUGAUAUUAUUUCAUUGCGUCGUUUAAAAUCAUAUCAUACGUCGUCUUUUAUUAAUAACCGUCGUUUGUGUUCUUAAUCUUUCCUUGAAAUAUUUUCACUUUCAGUUUUGUCUGUAAAAAUGGUUUCUCACCAAGACCAAAGUAAGGAUUCUGGCUCCAACAAAAAUGGAGGUAAGGAGCAAGUACCUCCUCAAGAGAAGUCUUCGAAGAUAAUGAAGUCUUCAAAGAAGAUGAAGUUUGCUUCAUCAUCUGCUGAUACAGAACCAACCAGCGCGACAACAAUCUCUGAUGAUUCAAAGGCUGGUCGAGGUAUGAGCACAAUGCCUCGUGUUGUGAAGAGAAAACUUCAGAAACUGAGGCCAAUUGUUGAGUACAAUAAAAGGGGGAAAGGAAUUGGCCAAGCACACAGUGAGAUGCAGUCCUAUAUUGGUGUGUUGGCACGCUCCAGAGUCCCACUUGUGGACUUGAAAUGGGCUCAAAUCCCCAAGGAUAUAAAGGAGCAGAUUUGGGAAGCAGUUGACAUUGCUUUUGUAGUAGGUCAAGGGGGCAAGAACUCUGUCUUAGCUUCUGCUGCCAAGAAAUGGAAGGAUUUCAAGUCUACACUAACGAGGCAUUAUAUCCUUCCAUACACCAAUGACAGGGAGAGAUUAAGCCAACCCCCUGAAACAUAUAAAUUCAUAGAGAAAGCACAAUGGGAUGCCUUUGUAGCUUCAAGGCUAUCCAAAGAUUUUGAGUCUGUGCAUUCUCAACAUGCACAGAUUAAGGAGAAACUCGAGUACAAUCAUCGAUUGUCUCGAAAAGGAUAUGCUGGUUUGGAGGAUCAAUUAGAGGAAACCAUGCCUGGGGUAGAAAUUGAUCGAUCUACCUUAUGGAAGAGAGCUAGACAGGACAAACAUGGUAACAUCCCUGAUCCAAAGGUGGCAGAGAAAGCAAAAUUAAUUGUAAGCCUACUCACUCUGUUUUAAAUUUUUAUUAAACUGUGAAUAAUUCUUAUUACGUCUUAUGUUAUAUUUUGCGUCGUGUGAAUGAUAUUACCACGUCGACAUUUUUUAAAACACGUCGUUAAAGGUCUAAAUAGGAAUCACAACUCUGUUUUCUGUAAUUAUAGCAUAAGAUGUCGGUGGUUCAAUUUCGCGUCGUCUGUAUUAAAUUACUACGUCGAAAUGUUUUAAACAACGUCGUUAAAGGUGUGAGUACUGUUACAUAAGACGUCGGUGGUUUAUUAAUUUCGUCGUUUUAAAAAUCUAACCACGUCGGUAUAACUACCGUCGUGAUAAAUUAUAAUAACGUCGAUUUAUAUGUUAUUGCGUCGUGUGAAAUUAUAUAAUACGUCGUUUGUAUAUAAAUAACCGUCGUGUGUUUUUGUUCUUACUUUUUUAUAUAUCUUUGUUUCAGGAUGAUUUGCAAAAACAAGUCUUGGAAGGCAAAGUCACCGUCUCUGGCAGCAAUGAUGUGCUGACCAUGGCUUUGGGCCCCGAGCAUCCAGGCAGAGUCAGAGGAGUAGGUGCUGGGAUCUCACCAAAGCAAUAUUUCAAUUUACCCAAACCACAGAGAGUGAGCUUUGACGACCGUUUGAAGGACAGUUUAAGAGUUCUCCUUCAAGAAGAGACUAGAAAGAUGGAGGCUAAGGCAAGGGAAGAGGCUUUAAGGAUGGAGGCUAGAACGAAACAAUUGGUAGAGGCUGAGAGGGAGCAUUUCCUGAGUCAGCUUUCCCAAUUAAUUCCCAAUUUUGAUCCAAGCAUGCUUAAACCCAGAAUUAGCCAAAGUCCCAAAAAUCCAAUGUCUGACAAAGCAAGCUGCUCUGGAGGUGAUGUGAGAUCCCAGCAUUUUGAGGAUGAUACUGCCAAAAAUGGGAAACAUCAGGAAGAAAAGGUAACAUAUCUGAACUUUGAAUUGUCUGUUUUUUUAAAAACCAUUAGACGUCGUUAUUAUUAAUAAAACUGUCGUUUGAAAUACAUACCACGACGAUUUUAAAAAUAAACUGUCGUUUGUAUUUCAAUACCACGUCGUAUUUAGUUUACUUGUUUUACACGCCAUUAAACGUCGUUAUUUUUAAAACUUUGUGGUUUUUAGACGACGGAGUUAAUCAUUCCCGACGUCAUAGAUGAAGAGAAUAAAGAAGAAAAACAAGAUGAAAAGCAGAAAGAAGAUGACGACCAGGUAUGUUCACAUAACUUUGCCUUUUUUAUUUGUUUUUCAAAAUUCCAGACGUCGAUAUUUUUCUUUAAACCGUCGUUUGUUUACAACUUAGACGGCGGAAUUGUUUUCUAAGACGUAAUAAAUAAUUCACCACGACGGUUGUUUCACCGUCGUUUAAAUUGUUUUCAGACGACGUUUUAUUCCUUAAACCGUCGUUUUUAUUGAAUUACCACGUCAUUUUUUUUAUUUCUUUAAACAGGUUACUAAAGUUGUUGAUUAUUCAAAUAUGGAGGCGCCAUCUUCUUUACAAACCCUUUGUCGUUAUGUGGAAACGACACUCGUGCCUCAGGAUAAGACCCUGCACUUUACAAUUGAUAAGGAGGUCUUUGGUCUAGAGCGCGAUACCUUCCUCCUGCCUGAAGAUAUUACACAAUUUGCAGGCAUGGAGGAAAUAGGAGCUACAGUCAUUGCUGUAUAUAUGAGGUUUGUCAUUCUAAAAUAAUACGUCGUUGGUUUAUUUAUUGCGUCGUCUUAACUAACUAACCACGUCGUUAGUAUGUACCGUCGUGAUAAAUUUAUUAUAACGUCGUUGUCUAUUUCAGUACGUCGUGUGAAACCUUAUAAUACGUCGUUUUGUUAUACAUAACCGUCGUGUGUUUUUUUUGCGCUGACUUGUUUAUAUUAUUUUAUAUAUUUAGGUACUUACACGAUGUUUUAAAACAAGCAAAUAUGUGCACAAUGGUUGGCUUUAUCGACCCUGCUACAGUUAGUGCCAGCUCUGGCACAAUAGCUGACAGAUCACGAAUGGUAGCAUCACGACUUCAGAAGACUGACGGUGAACAGAUUUUCCUGAUGCCUUACAAUCCAGGGUUAGUCUCCUUAACAGGAUUUUGUUUUUAUGAUUUUCAAUAAAUGACAGCGUAUAAACUAACCACGUCGGUGUUUUAUUUUAUUGAGUCGUUUGAAACGACUAACCACGUCGGUAGUUAUUUAUCGUCGUGAUAAAUAUAUAAUGUCGUCGAUUGCUACUUUAUUUCGUCGUGUGAAAUAUUAUAAUACGUCGUUUUUGUAAAUAACCGUCGUUUUUAUAUUAAUUUUGUGCAGCCGUCAUUGGAUCUUGCUGAUUGUAAGAGCAAAGAGGGAAACAGUCUAUUUUCUGGAUCCUCUGCCAGGAUAUCGUGUGGUCGAUGAAGAGGCCAAAAACAUCGUGAACAGUGCCAUAAAAAUUUAUAAUUCCCACAUAGCCAGAUCAGGCCGUAAGGCAGUCAUUUGGAAAACUCUGUCAGGCAUACCAAAGCAACCCAGCAAUGUCGAAUGCGGGUAUUACGUGAUGCGCUUCAUGAAGGACAUCAUCAUGGAUCCUUCCUUGGGGUUUGAGAAGAAGGUAAGAAGAAAUAACCUUCAAACAUUUUACGUCGUUUUUUGUAUUAUCAACGACGGUCAUGUAAAAUUACCGUCGUUGAAUAGAUAUACUACGUCGGUUAUGGUCGUCUGUGAUUGAAUUUCCUUUUAUUUAUAAACCCUAAUAGUCAUUGUUUUUAUGCAGUAUGCGAAGGGAAAACAGGAAGAGCCAUACCCCCAAGAAGCAAUUGAUGAAGUCCGGAAUGAAUGGGCAGAGUUUGUUUGCCUUCAACUUAAAUAGGGGAAUUAUUGAACACUUGAUAUUUAUGUAUAAUGUACAAAUUUUGUCUAUAAUAUAUAAUGUAAAAAUUUGUUGAGGUUUUCUUAAAGUAAAAAACAAAAACAAACAUACAAAAUGCGUUACCGACGUGUAAUAAUUUUCCAACGACGUAAUAAAGUCAAAAGCCGUCGUUUUUUGUGGUUUCGUUUUAAACAAAUCCGACGUAAAAGGAUAUUUAGACGACAUUCUUUGAACAAUGGAGUCGUUUAUGGUUUACAACGUCUUCAAUUUCUUAAGGGUUCAGGGUAGUACUUUGUAACGACAGCGGUUAAGUCGAGGAAUAUAUAUUUUACGUCGGAUAGUUAAAUAUCCGACAUCGUUUCUCAUUUAAACGACGUCAUUUUAACAACUUAGUCGUCUCUUACAAUUUACAACGUCUACAAUUUAUUAACACCGACGUGGUUUGUUGUUGUGAUAAGAAUAUUUUAUUAUUUUUAUAUCAAAAUAUUCAAAAUAAAUUUAAAAUAAAUCAGAAAAAUGCAAAGUCAACUCCUAUGAAGUCAUUGAUAUAUUUUCUUCCCCCUAAAGCUUGAAAAAAUUCAUUUUGAAUAACAAAAAUUUAAAAUGAACAUCCAAAAUAAAAUUAUUUUGAUGAGUCAUAAAAUCACUUCUAGUUUUAUGGUUUAGGGUUUAGAGUCUAGGGUUUAGAGAUUAGGGUUGUUAUUUAUUGGGGUUUAUUUUUAAAGUAUAAUUUUUGGGUAGUCUAGGGUAUAUAUUAGGCUGUAAAACCAUAAACCCUUUUAUAAACUUAAUUUUUUAAAUUAUAUAAUUUAGUUUUAAGGGUUUAGGGUAUUAAUUGUUAACGACGGUGGUUGAGUCGUGGAAUACAUAUGUUACGUCGUCCAGUAAAUUAUCCGACAUGGUUUCUGCGUUAAACGACGUCAUUUUAAUAUGUAAGUCGUGUAUUAUUAUUUACAACGUUUUCAAUUUCUUAACCCCGACGUGGUUUUUCAGUCGUCUUUAUAUCAAAAUAUUGAAAAAAAUUUUAAAUUAUUCCGAAAACUGAAGCGUCAAAAUAAACGGCGUUACGUUCAGUGUUUCCGUCGUGGAAUAUUACAUUUACGUCGGUUCUUGUAGAACUUUCGCCAUGGUUUUUCUUUCGACGUUUUAAAGAGCGCGUGCUCUAAAAAUUUUCGCACGUCCUAAAUUUUUUUAUAUUUGGCUCUUAUUCUUAUUCUUCUAACCCUGAACCCUAAAAUUUUCAGAUUUCGUGCAACAUAACAUUUCGCUCUCUCACUUCUGCUCUAAUUAAAAGUUGCUCUGUCACUUCUGCUCCGUCGAAUCUGUGAGCUCGUCCAACCUGUAAGUACAAACCCUAUCUUCCCCUUGUAAAUUCAUUGAAUGAUAUUAGGUUGUUUUGUUAAAGGGUUUUAGGUAUAUGCUUUGCGAUCUGUUAAUAAUGUGCUUAUAAGUAUGGGUUCAUGGAUUUUCUGUUUAAUGGGUUCAUGGAUUACAUUAUCUGUUAUGUUGAAUUGGGAAUGGAUUUAAUUUUGUCGGAUCUUUUAAUCACCCUAUGUUAUGUUGAAUUGGGAAUGGAUUUAUUGUUUUCAUGCUUGGUUUCAUGUAUAUGUUGUUUUCUUGCUUGGUUUCAUAUAUAUGUUGUGUUCUUAAUGGGUUUUGGGUUCUUGAAAAUAAACUGAGACACGACGCCUUUUUAGGCAUACGACGACGAUUACACGACGGUUUAUGAAAAAACCGUCGUUGUAUUAAUUAUACACGACGGUGUUUUCAUAAACCGUCGUUUGUAUUACUUAUAUUAGACGACGUCUGUUGAAAAUCCGUCGUCUAUAUAUGCCAAAUACGUCUGUUUUUGUUUAAAACCCGUCGUCUCUGUUGUGUAUUACUUGCUAUUAGAUCUUUGUAUAAUCUGCUAUAGUGAUGGUCAUUGCCUGUAUUUUCACUUUAUUAUAGAUAAUAGGUUAUAGUGUCGGAGAUGGAUAAGUCAUGGAUGCACUCGGAUAGAAGAUCGAAGGCAUAUGAGUUUGGGGUGGAAGCAUUUUUGAACUUUGCUGUAGAAAAUCUUCUAACUACAACACAUAUCCGUUGUCCAUGUGUUAAAUGUGUUAAAUUGAAGUUGUUUGGGGUUGGAAUUAUAAGGGAUCACUUAUACUUUAAUGGAAUUGACCAAAGCUAUAAGAAUUGGACAUUUCACGGAGAACCUUGGGAAGCAACUACUAAUGCUAGUAGAAAUGUUGAAGAAGAUGAUGGCCAUAGUAGGUACAGUUUUGUGUCUGAAGAAAUUGAUAUGGAUGAUAAUGAUUUUGGUUCCGAUCCGUAUGAGUUUGCCAAUGUGAUUGGGGAUGGAGAUCAACCAGUGUACCCUGGUUGUAGAAAGUACACGAAGUUAUCGGCAUUAGUGAAGUUGUAUAAUUUGAAGGCAAAACAUGGGAUGAGUGAUGUCUGCUUUACAGAAUUAUUGAUACUUCAAGGCGAUUUGCUUCCAGAAGGAAAUACAAUACCAACCUCUAUGUAUGAGGCUAAAAAGACUUUGUGUGCAUUGGGGCUGAGUUAUGAAAAAAUGCACGCAUGCCCCAAUGAUUGCAUCUUGUAUAGGAAGGAGUAUGACAAUUCAACUAAUUGUCCUACUUGUGGUAUCUCAAGGUGGAAGGAAGGCAAAGAUUCAAUCUUGAAAGAGGGUGUGCCAGCGAAGGUGGUGUGGUAUUUUUCUCCAAUUCCAAGGUUUAAAAGGAUGUUUCAAUCACAUGAGACAGCUAAGAGUUUGACUUGGCAUGCUGCUAGAAAAUCAAUUGACGGUCAGAUGUCUCAUCCGGCGGAUUCCCCGUCUUGGAAACUUCUUGAUGAUAAAUGGCCUGAGUUUGGUAAUGAGCCGAGAAACUUGAGAUUGGCUCUUUCAUCUGAUGGAUUCAAUCCCCACAGUUCUCUAAGUAGCAGAUAUAGUUGUUGGCCGGUUAUCUUAGUUACAUAUAAUCUCCCUCCAUGGCUGUGCAUGAAACGAAAGUUCAUGAUGUUAACCUUAUUGAUUUCCGGUCCUAAACAACCCGGAAAUGAUAUAGACGUCUACUUGGAGCCUUUGAUUGAUGAUUUAAAAUCUUUGUGGGAUGGGAUUAGAGGAGUGUAUGAUGCACAUAAUGGAGAAUACUUUACACUCAGAGCUGCAUUAAUGUGGACAAUUAAUGAUUUUCCCGCCUAUGGAAACUUAUCUGGUUGUGUUGUUAAAGGAUAUAAAGCUUGUCCAAUAUGCGGCGAUGAUACACCUAGUCACAGGUUGAAAAAUGGCCACAAAAUUUGUUACAUUGGGCAUAGAAAAUGGUUACCAAUCAAUAAUCCAUAUAGGAGGCAACGUGCAGCUUUUAAUGGGAAACCUGAAUAUGGCAUACCUCCCGAGCCAUUAACCGGAGAAGAAGUGCUGCAUAUGGUUGAAAAUGGUGACAGAGUUUGUUGGAAGAAGAAAUCAAUAUUCUUUGAUCUCGAGUAUUGGAAAUACCUUCCUGUGAGGCAUGCCCUAGAUGUUAUGCACAUUGAGAAGAAUGUUUGCGAUAGUAUUAUUGGUACAUUGCUGGAGAUCCCUGGAAAAAAUAAAGAUGGGAUUGCUGCUCGAUUAGAUUUAUUGAACAUGGGGGUCAAAACUGAUUUGCAACCCGAGUAUGGAGAAAGACGUACUCGUUUGCCUCCUGGGCCUUGGAAUUUGUCAAGAGCGGAGAAGAGAGAGGUUUGCAAUUCUUUCUAUGGUAUGAAGGUCCCUGAAGGUUAUUCUUCAAAUAUUAAAAAUCUUGUAUCUUUACAAGAUUCAAGACUUCUUGGCCUUAAAUCACAUGAUUGUCAUACCUUAAUGCAACAAUUGCUCCCUGUGGCAAUUCGUUCUGUUUUGGAGAAGCCUGCAAGGUAUGCAAUAACUCAUUUGUGCUUCUUCUUCAAUGCUAUAUGUGCAAAGACUGUUGAUGUUUCCAAGCUAGAUAAGUUGGAAGAAGAUGUAGUAGUUACUCUGUGUUUGCUUGAGAAGUACUUUCCCCCUUCAUUCUUUGAUAUCAUGGUUCAUCUAGUAGUACAUCUUGUCAGAGAAGUUCGUCUAUGUGGGCCAGUAUAUUUUAGGUGGAUGUAUCCGUUUGAAAGAUAUAUGAAAGUGCUGAAGGGGUAUGUUCAGAAUCGUACUCGUCCCGAAGGUUGCAUUGCUGAGCGGUAUAUAGCUGAAGAAGCGGUAGAGUGUUGUACUCAGCAUUUAUCUGAUGUUAGUAUAGUUGGAGUGCCUUCAAGCCCAAAGAUGGGACUUUCAAAGCCAUUAUCAGGUUGCACAGUGAGCGUAGUUGAUCAGGACAUGUUGAAUCAAGCACAUCUAUAUGUCUUGGAGAAUACGGAGGAAGUCCUACCUUAUAUCGAGUACGUAUGAGCUUUAUUCUUUAAGUUUCCAUUUUAAAUUAUUUCUUAUGUUUAUCUUCUAUAUUUAGGACCGUAAUGCUUGAAUUUUUCGUGUCAUGUAGGCAACAUAUGAUUCACAUCAAGACUGCUUAUCCAAAAUUUAGAAAGAGAACAAAGUGGCUGCAGGAUAAGCACAAUAGCACUUUCAUUCAAUGGCUACGCUUCAAGGUAUAUAUUGUUGAAUAACAUAUUUCUCUUUUAAUUUUCUUCUUAUUUAUAUGUUAGAUUGAAUUAAGAUAUGAUUAAUUUGCAGGUUCAAAGUGAACUUGAGGAAGACAAUCAUGGCGUAUCAGAAAAUUUAAGGUGGCUAGCAGCUGGUCCAAACAUGUCAGUGCCAUUAUAUAGGAGCUAUCUUAUUAAAGGUAUUAAAUUCAAUAUCAAGGCACAAGAUGAUGUGCGGACAACUCAAAAUAGUGGAGUUUAUUUACUUGCACAUACCAUGCAAGUUGCUAGUGCCAAGGAUAAAAACCCAAUUCUCUCAAAUAAGGGUUUCUAUGGUGUCAUUCAAGAAAUUUGGGACCUUGACUACCAAAAGUUUACAAUCCCAGUCUUUAGGUGUGAUUGGAUAGAUAGUUCUGGUCUUGUAGUCGACGAACUUGGAUUUACCCUUGUAGAUUUGAGUAAAAUUGGACAUAGGAAUGACCAAUUUGUUUUGGCUUCUCAAGUCAAACAAAUAUUUUUUGUUGACGACCCGAUGCAUCGUGGUUGGUCGGUAGUGUUAUCAAUGCCUAAUAGAGAAUAUAAUGAUGUUAUUGGUGAUGAAGUCUUAGGUGAUGUGAUAAUUGAGUGUGAGCCAUUUACUAGAGGGAUGCCAAAUGUUGACACAUUUGAUGAACUGGUAGGUGAGUUAGGCGGUCAAAAUAUUCGAGAUGGGUGUGAAGAUAUAUGGAUUGAAUGAUGCUUAUGUAAUUGGCAGUGUAUGACAUUAAUUUUGUAAUAUAUUGUAAUGCGAUUCUUCACUUUCUACGUUCAAAUAAAACACGACGUUAUUGUGAAUCAGUUNNNNNNNNNNNNNNNNNNNNNNNNNNNNNNNNNNNNNNNNNNNNNNNNNNNNNNNNNNNNNNNNNNNNNNNNNNNNNNNNNNNNNNNNNNNNNNNNNNNNNNNNNNNNNNNNNNNNNNNNNNNNNNNNNNNNNNAUCCCAUAAUACCGACGUCUAAAAAACGAGAUAUAUAAUCUGAACGUUAAAAAAUACGACGUCAUCAUACAUUUUCCACGUCGUAAGUUCUUUUAUAAACGAAGAGGAACGAAAUGAAUUCCGACGGAAGUUCAUUAUAACCGCCGUUUAAUAACAAUUAAACGACGUUAUUUGUAAUACGGCUCUCAUCAUAAUCUACGCCGUCUAUAUGUUCUGUAAUACGGCUCUCAUUUAUUUGGAACCGACGUUGUUUAGAAGUUCAACGUCGUCUAUAUUAUUAAGUGCGUCGUGAGUAAUGAAUACAUAUAAAUACAACGUCGACUAUAUAAAUGUAUACGUCGUAAAUAAUGACACUGACAACUAUUUCCACGUCAUCCUUUUUAGAAAAAUCGAAGUGGAAAAUUUAUUUCACGACGGUUUUUUGUAAAUAAGAGACGUAGUAGAUUUCAAUAACGUCGUCUUCUCAUGUAUUUAAAGACGUCAUAUUUUUUCUUGUCGGGUAAAUUAUAUUUAACGGAGUAGUAUUUUAGUUGUCGUCGUUGUAUGUAUAUCUUGCGGCCUUGUUCUUUUAAUAUGUGUCAUAUUUUUCCUUUUUAACGACGGUGAUUUUUUUGAGUUGGUUGUCUAUUCUCAUCCUCGACUAUUUUCUAGAACUUUAGCAGACUAAACACGUCUGUUUUUAUUUUUUUCCGACGUUGUUUUAUUUAACAACGUCUAAUAUUUAUCGUCGUUGUUUGUUUCUGAAAAUAGGACGUAUAAAUUUUGUAAUACGACUCUCAUAUAUUUGUUACCGACGUUGUUUAGUUUUUCAACGUCUACUCUAUUAACAUAUACGUCGUAAAUAAUGACACUAACAACUAUUUCCACGUCAUCUUUUAUCGAAAAAUCGAAGUGGAAAAUUAAUUUUACGACGGUUGUUUUUAUAUAUGCGACGUAGUAGGUAUCAAUAACGUCGUCUUCUAAUGUAUUUAAAGACGUCAUAUUUUUUAUUGUCUUGAAAAUUAUAUUUAACGUCGUCGUAUUUGUAUUUUCGUCGUUGCAUGUCUAUCUUGCGGCCUUGUUCUGUGUCAUAUUUUUCCUUUUUAACGACGGUUUUUUUAGAGAGUUGGUCGUCUAUUAUCAUCCUCGAUUGCUUUUUUUAGAUCUUUUUGCAGUACAAAGACGUCGUUUUGUAUUUGUUGAUGACGUUGUAUAUUUUAACAACGACGGUUAUUUAGCGUCGUGGUUUAUGAGGGAAAAGAUGACGGUGGAUUCCACGACCAUUGAAAAACCCAAUACACGACGGUGAUUUACCGUCGUCUUUUUGCUUUUUUGUAGUAGUGUGGAGAUUAACAACUUGAUAAUGAAAGCAAGGAAAUCAAUUAAUUAUAAAAUCAUCCAUAAAAUUGAAUAUUCAUGACUAGGGCUUCAUCCUAAGCCCUAACUAAAUGGAUUAGUUAGACAUAACUAUGAAUACAGAAAAUAAGAAAUAUAUAGAUAGAAUAAAGAGAAGAGAAGAACUAGCUGGUGGCAACAAGGUAGUUCCCAGGACAGCUCCAAGGUCUCCCUCCUUUGCAACUAGCUCCCUUCUCUCUUGUGGGGAAUGAUGGAAUCUGAAUGUGUGUGUGAGUAAUGGAUGAAAUGAAUCUCUCUCUCUAUCUCCCUUUUUGAAUGAGUGUGCAGCUCUCCAUUUAUUGAGUGCCAAUUUCGUCCUCCCCUCUAGCUGGUGAAACACAUCUCUCUUAGCUGCUCCCAAUUGCCUAAGCUGCCUAAUAAAUGCCAACUGCUCCAGCUGCCCAAUAAAAGCCAAUUGCUUUAGCUGCCCAAUAAAUGCUUUGGUGAACUAUUCUUGGUCUCUUGAUGGCAAGCUUGACUUUUGU